UGCGUAGGCGGCGCGGUAAGUCGGGUGUGAAAUCUCGGAGCUUAACUCCGAAACUGCAUUCGAUACUGCCGUGCUUGAGGACUGGAGAGGAGACUGGAAUUUACGGUGUAGCGGUGAAAUGCGUAGAUAUCGUAAGGAAGACCAGUGGCGAAGGCGGGUCUCUGGACAGUUCCUGACGCUGAGGCACGAAGGCCAGGGGAGGCAAACG
RNAcentral lists this ribosomal RNA (208 nucleotides) under uncultured bacterium. RNAcentral describes it as "partial 16S ribosomal RNA". It matches the Rfam family "Bacterial small subunit ribosomal RNA", at positions 568 to 775 of the family's 1533-position model. The record is from RNAcentral.